GACGAACGCUGGCGGCGUGCUUAACACAUGCAAGUCGAACGCUGAAGCUCAGCUUUUGUUGGGUGGAUGAGUGGCGAACGGGUGAGUAACACGUGAGUAACCUGCCCCCUUCUUUGGGAUAACGCCCGGAAACGGGUGCUAAUACUGGAUAUUCACUGGUCUUCGCAUGGGGGUUGGUGGAAAGGGUUUUUCUGGUGGGGGAUGGGCUCGCGGCCUAUCAGCUUGUUGGUGGGGUGAUGGCCUACCAAGGCUUUGACGGGUAGCCGGCCUGAGAGGGUGACCGGUCACAUUGGGACUGAGAUACGGCCCAGACUCCUACGGGAGGCAGCAGUGGGGAAUAUUGCACAAUGGGCGCAAGCCUGAUGCAGCGACGCCGCGUGAGGGAUGGGGGCCUUCGGGUUGUGAACCUCUUUCGCUCAUGGUCAAGCCGCAACAAUGGUUGUGGUGAGGGUAGUGGGUAAAGAAGCGCCGGCUAACUACGUG
This 483-nucleotide ribosomal RNA is filed under the name uncultured bacterium. Its description in RNAcentral is "partial 16S ribosomal RNA". It matches the Rfam family "Bacterial small subunit ribosomal RNA", at positions 28 to 507 of the family's 1533-position model. The record is from RNAcentral.